UAGAUUAGACAUAUCAUAGUUUCUUCUAUNNNUGAUAAGUGUAAGCAUUCCACCUCAAGAGUAAUUUGGCAACAUUGGAACUGAAAUCAUUAGACCGUUUCUGAAACCAGUAGUGAAGUAUGUUAUUUAAUUUGAUUACCCGCAAAAAACCUUACCACAAUUUGAAUAUUUAUACCCUUUUUAUUUUUUCAGAUGAGUCUGGGAAAACUUAAAAAAUAUAUUUACAAGCGUUGCACGGCUGUCUUCAGUUAAUGUCGUGAGAUUCUGGUUAGUUCCAUUAAUUAACGUAGACCCUUACUUUAUUUUUUAUAUAGAGUUGUUCCCCACUAGAUUGGAUAAGAUAACAGGGACUAAGACAAGUCA
Molecule: ribosomal RNA, 363 nt
Filed under: Lecanoropsis anopta
Lineage: Eukaryota; Fungi; Ascomycota; Lecanoromycetes; Lecanorales; Lecanoraceae
Description: Lecanora anopta partial small subunit ribosomal RNA
Rfam family: Bacterial small subunit ribosomal RNA
Source: RNAcentral